RNAcentral lists this ribosomal RNA (466 nucleotides) under uncultured bacterium. Its description in RNAcentral is "bacterial SSU rRNA". It matches the Rfam family "Bacterial small subunit ribosomal RNA", at positions 329 to 792 of the family's 1533-position model. The record is from RNAcentral.
UGCCAGACUCCUACGGGAGGCAGCAGUGAGGAAUAUUGGUCAAUGGGCUUACGCCUGAACCAGCCAAGUCGCGUGAGGGAAGACUGCCCUAUGGGUUGUAAACCUCUUUUGUCAGGGAGCAACGCCGGCUACGUGUAGCCGGACUGAGAGUACCUGAAGAAAAAGCAUCGGCUAACUCCGUGCCAGCAGCCGCGGUAAUACGGAGGAUGCGAGCGUUAUCCGGAUUUAUUGGGUUUAAAGGGUGCGUAGGCGGGCUGUUAAGUCAGCGGUAAAAGCGCGGGGCUCACCCCCGGCGAGCCGUUGAAACUGGCUGUCUUGAGAUGUCGAGAGGUAUGCGGAAUGCGCAGUGUAGCGGUGAAAUGCUUAGAUAUUGCGCAGAACUCCGAUUGCGAAGGCAGCAUACCGGCGGCGAUCUGACGCUGAGGCACGAAAGCGUGGGUAUCGAACAGGAUUAGAUACCCCGGUA